GCACGGGUUGCCGAGUGGUCAAAGGUGCCAGGCUAAGGACCUGGUCUCGUAGGAGUUCGAGGGUUCAAAUCCCUUCCCGUGCA
RNAcentral lists this transfer RNA (83 nucleotides) under Candidatus Nanohalarchaeota archaeon. RNAcentral describes it as "Candidatus Nanohaloarchaeota archaeon tRNA-Leu". It matches the Rfam family "tRNA". From Rfam's summary of the family: Transfer RNA (tRNA) molecules are approximately 80 nucleotides in length. Lineage: Archaea; Nanobdellati; Candidatus Nanohalarchaeota. The record is from RNAcentral. RNAcentral also lists the same sequence under 1 other name.